This 450-nucleotide ribosomal RNA is filed under the name uncultured bacterium. RNAcentral describes it as "bacterial SSU rRNA". It matches the Rfam family "Bacterial small subunit ribosomal RNA", at positions 355 to 825 of the family's 1533-position model. The record is from RNAcentral.
UCAAGAAACUUCCACAAUGGGCGAAAGCCUGAUGGAGCGACGUCGCGUGAUGGACGAAGUGCUUCGGCACGUAAACAUCUUUUAUGUGGGAUGAAAUUAUUGACAGUACCACAUGAAUAAGGGGCUCCUAACUCUGUGCCAGCAAGAGCGGUAAUACAGAGGCCCCAAGCGUUAUCCGGAAUCACUGGGCGUAAAGGGUGUCGAGGCGGUUGUAUUAGUCGUUCGUAAAAUCUACGAGCUUAACUUGUAGGCGGCGAACGAAACGGUACGACUUGAGGUUUGGAGAGGUGCGUGGAACUCACGGUGUAGGGGUGAAAUCCGUUGAUAUCGUGGGGAACACCAAAGGCGAAGGCAGCGCACUGGCCAAAAUCUGACGCUCACACACGAAAGCUAGGGUAGCGAAGAGGAUUAGAUACCCAAGUAGUCCCUGAGCGGGCUGGCAAGGCGCAU